GACGAACGCUGGCGGCGUGCUUAACACAUGCGAGUCGAACGGAAAGGCCUGCUUUUGUGGGGUGCUCGAGUGGCGCACGGGUGAGUAAUACGUGAGUAACCUGCCCUUGUAUUUGGGAUAACUUCAGGAAACUGGGGCUAAUACUGGAUAGGAGCUCCUGUUGCAUGGUGGGGGUUGGAUCGUUUCGGCGGUUGGGUAUGGACUCGCGGCUUAUCCGAUUGUUGGUGGGGUAGGGGCUUAACAAGGCUUUGACGGGUAGCCGGCCUGGGAGGGUGACCGGCCACAUUGGCACUGGGAUGCGACCCAGACUCCUACGGGAGGCAGCAGCGAGGAACAUUGCACAAUGGGCGGAAUCCUGAUGCAACAACGCCGCGUCCGGAAUGUCGGCCUUCGGGUAGUAAACCGCUUUCGCCUGUGACGAACCGUGAGUGACGGUAAUGGGUAAAGAAGCACCGGCUAACUACGUG
RNAcentral lists this ribosomal RNA (467 nucleotides) under uncultured bacterium. Its description in RNAcentral is "partial 16S ribosomal RNA". It matches the Rfam family "Bacterial small subunit ribosomal RNA", at positions 28 to 507 of the family's 1533-position model. The record is from RNAcentral.